Papilio xuthus (Asian swallowtail) is the source of this 552-nucleotide long non-coding RNA. RefSeq lists it as uncharacterized. The transcript is spliced from 3 exons. NCBI's taxonomy places the organism in Eukaryota, Metazoa, Arthropoda, Insecta, Lepidoptera, Papilionidae. The record is from RefSeq and is a predicted model, not a curated record.
UCGCGCUGGCUGCCCGCCGCAAUCUGUGUACUUUAAUUUAUAUUAAAAAAAAAACUUGCUUUCCAAAUUUGAAAAUGCAAUCUUUAAUCGUUUUUAUUAAUCUGUGCAUGGUUGCAGUAUGUGGACAGGACUGCAGAGUUCGCGGACAAUGGUGCGCAGAUCAUGAAUAUUGUUGCGGUGGUUGCUGUUUUGAUAACAUAUGUUAUGACACUUACAGAUCCUGUCUGGCUCCCUUUGACGUUUGCAAAGACUAUCCCUGCAGGGGAGAGGAAAAUUGUUUUGUUUAUAAGCCCCCAGAAUGUCGUGGCUGUGAGCCCAUACCUUUAUGCAGACUGGAAGAGCCUUAGUGAAAGAUUUACUACGGUGAAGAUAUUGCGAUGGAAUUCACACCAUUUAUUGUCUAUCAUACCUGCUUCUAGAAAGAGAUACUAAAUCAGAAGAAUGAAAAUUAUUGGUGAAGAUGAAUCGAUGUGCUUGAAGAAAAACAAAGAUAUAAGAUGUUGAGAAGAACAAGUUUGUGAGUUGGUUUUUCAAUAAAUUAUGUUAAAUCAC